CGAACGUUAGCGGCGGGCCUAACACAUGCAAGUCGAACGCGAAAGGUCUUCGGACUGAGUAGAGUGGCGCACGGUGAGUAACACGUAGGUAAUCUACCCUUUGGCGGGGAUAACGUUCCGAAAGGAGCGCUAAUACCGCAUAAGACCACGGAGUCUCCGGACGCUGUGGGAAAAGGUGGCCUCUUCUUGAAAGCUACCACCGAAGGAUGAGCCUGCGUCCCAUCAGCUAGUUGGUAAGGUAAUGGCUUACCAAGGCGAAGACGGGUAGCUGGUUUGAGAGAAUGAUCAGCCACACUGGCACUGGAACACGGGCCAGACUCCUACGGGAGGCAGCAGUGAGGAAUAUUGGGCAAUGGGCGAAAGCCUGACCCAGCCACGCCGCGUGAGUGAUGAAGGCCCUCGGGUCGUAAAGCUCUGUGGAGAGGGACGAAAACCCUGGUUUCAAAUAGGCUCCAGGCUUGACGGUACCUCUUUAGCAAGCACCGGCUAACUCUGUG
RNAcentral lists this ribosomal RNA (497 nucleotides) under uncultured bacterium. RNAcentral's name for it is "bacterial SSU rRNA". It matches the Rfam family "Bacterial small subunit ribosomal RNA", at positions 30 to 507 of the family's 1533-position model. The record is from RNAcentral.